AACAGCUCAAAUUUGAAAUCUGGCCCUAGGCCCGAGUUGUAAUUUGCAGAGGAUGCUUUUGGUGCGGUGCCUUCCAAGUUCCCUAGAACGGGACGCCAGAGAGGGUGAGAGCCCCGUACAGUUGGACACCAAGCCUUUGUAAAGCUCCUUCGACGAGUCGAGUAGUUUGGGAAUGCUGCUCAAAAUGGGAGGUAUAUUUCUUCUAAAGCUAAAUACCGGCCAGAGACCGAUAGCGCACAAGUAGAGUGAUCGAAAGAUGAAAAGCACUUUGAAAAGAGGGUUAAACAGCACGUGAAAUUGUUAAAAGGGAAGCGCUUGUGACCAGACUUGCGUCCGGUGAAUCACCCAGCUCUCGCGGCUGGGGCACUUCGCCGGCUCAGGCCAGCAUCAGCUCGCUGUCGGGGACAAAAGCUUCAGGAACGUAGCUCUCUUCGGGGAGUGUUAUAGCCUGUUGCACAAUACCCUUCGGCGGGCUGAGGUACGCGCUCCGCAAGGAUGCUGGCAUAAUGGUCAUCAGCGACCCGUCUUGAAACACGGACCAAGGAGUCAACCUUAUGUGCGAGUGUUCGGGUGUCAAACCCCUACGCGUAAUGAAAGUGAACGCAGGUGAGAGCUUCGGCGCAUCAUCGACCGAUCCUGAUGUUCUCGGAUGGAUUUGAGUAAGAGCAUAUAGGGUUGGACCCGAAAGAAGGUGAACUAUGCGUGUAUAGGGUGAAGCCAGAGGAAACUCUGGUGGAGGCUCGCAGCGGUUCUGACGUGCAAAUCGAUCGUCAAAUAUGCGCAUGGGGGCGAAAGACUAAUCGAACCUUCUAGUAGCUGGUUUCCGCCGAAGUUUCCCUCAGGAUAGCAGUGUUGAACUCAGUUUUAUGAGGUAAAGCGAAUGAUUAGGGACUCGGGGGCGCUAUAUUGCCUUCAUCCAUUCUCAAACUUUAAAUAUGUAAGAAGCCCUUGUUGCUUAAUUGAACGUGGGCAUUCGAAUGUAUCAACACUAGUGGGCCAUUUUUGGUAAGCAGAACUGGCGAUGCGGGAUGAACCGAACGCGAGGUUAAGGUGCCAGAGUAGACGCUCAUCAGACACCACAAAAGGUGUUAGUACAUCUUGACAGCAGGACGGUGGCCAUGGAAGUCGGAAUCCGCUAAGGACUGUGUAACAACUCACCUGCCGAAUGUACUAGCCCUGAAAAUGGAUGGCGCUCAAGCGUCUCACCCAUACCUCGCCCUCA
Molecule: ribosomal RNA, 1222 nt
Filed under: fungal endophyte
Lineage: Eukaryota; Fungi
Also listed under: 1 other name
Description: eukaryotic LSU rRNA
Rfam family: Eukaryotic large subunit ribosomal RNA
Source: RNAcentral